GGGGCCGACCUGGUUUCGACGAGGGUGUUGCACCAAAAGGUGCGUGUCCGGGAGCCGUGCUUGCCGGUCAAACAGUACGGAAAAAAACAAAAGCCAACGACGACGUUCACACGUACGCCCUGGCCGCCUAAGAACCUCGCAUAGAGUCUUCUUAAGCCGUUCAUGUUGAUGACCCCGCCCAUGGUCACAGCAUGAGCGUAAUUGAAGUGGGCUAGUCCUUCGGAGCUGCCGCUCGACGAAGGGCGAAAUCAUAGAGUGGCUGGUUCUCGAAGCGUCUGUCUGCGAGCGCUUCGAGGACGAGAUUAACUCGCAUGACUACGCACGUAGGACCUUCUGGGAAUGUACUUUCGGACGCGGGUUCGAUUCCCGCCGGCUCCAUCA
RNAcentral lists this transfer-messenger RNA (381 nucleotides) under Deltaproteobacteria bacterium. It matches the Rfam family "transfer-messenger RNA". Rfam says of the family: Bacterial tmRNA, also known as 10Sa RNA or SsrA, is named for its dual tRNA and mRNA-like properties. Its role is to liberate the mRNA from a stalled ribosome. RNAcentral also lists the same sequence under 1 other name. The record is from RNAcentral. Lineage: Bacteria; Pseudomonadati; Myxococcota; Myxococcia.